GAUGAAAAGCAUUCACGAAAAUCACCUAUCUGAUGGCUAGACAACUUAUCUCCAUCACCGAUCAAAAAAAUCUCCGCACAUAUAACGAAGGGACCCUUUAACAAACUGUCCAUCUAUCUCAAGUCCAUGAGAUUCUAGCUGCUGAAGGUCCUCAAGCAGUGACUGAAUAAUCUUGUGCAAGGUGAAUUUUGCUACAGUGACAGUUUUCACAAGAAGAACAAGAUAUUUGCUGUCAACUUUUGAGCGAAAUUGGGGUGGGAAUUUAGAGCUGUCAGAUAACUAGCCAGGACUUUAUGCUUUUCACGUUUGCUUCCAAUUGGAUUGUAGAGUUCAAACUCAUCAAAGUAAAGUUACGAUCUAAUCGACACAUUACGACCUAAUCGACCGCUAUCGAAGAAAGCCGGCAGCGCGACACCAGUCUUAGAGGCCAUGCAAACACUCGCGCGACCGAAAUCUAAUUUCGAUUUCGAAGGCCAUGCGUUGUUUUGAAUUCCGCAUUGGCGCUGUGGUUGCGUGGGGCGCGCAUGCGCGUUGUGUGCGUUGUAUGGUUUGGCGCCUUUUCGUCAUGUUUUCGUUCCCGCUCUGCCAGCUGUGCCGCUCUGCCUGGCUCAGCGCCUAUUUCGAACCCAUGCGUGCGCGUUUUGGAAGUUAUGGCAGGAUGCGUUUGCAUCGUCGUGCUGAAGGAUGGCCAGCGGAAAAAAGUUUCACUCCCUAACGGUGCCUACGGCGAACUGAUGGAUGCUCUCGCUUCCUUAACCAACAUACAUGACAAGACCUUGAUCCAAAUGUAUGAUGAAGAGCUAGACGACUAUGUUGAUCUUGAGGAAGGAAGUGACGUCCCAAACAAGGCUAAAAUAAAAUUGGCGCGGAAACAAGGCCUUCAUGUUGAUGGUGCCAGCCCUACGUUGACUUUUGUGCAGAGUGCAGGAGGAGCUGUGGAAAUGGCCGAGCAGAGUGCCGUGACAGAAAACGCACAAAACGUGCAGUCCAUCCAGUCGGUGCCACUGGAAAAGGAACGGGAUUUUUUAGAUUUUGUGCUCCCUUCUUUUGGGCACUACGACGAGGUGCUGAGGAGAAAAAUACAAAUAAAUGGCGCUGUGCGCCGUGCCAUAGUGGACAAGCUCUUUGCCGCAUACAUCAAGAUCGCAUGGUACCCGUCCAGGCAGCUCUAUCGGGUAGCUGCUGAGAGAUUGGUCACCGCUCAUCCACACCUUGCAGAUAGGGUCGGUUGCAGCCUGGAAUCAUGGGUGAUGGCCCUGAGGAACAAGUUCCAACAACACAGGAAAAAAGCUACAAAACUGCUCGGAGGAAAUGCUAAUUCAAAAGAAAUGCUGUCUGCCAAAGCAAAUGCAGGCACCAUCUGAAGAAGUGGCAAACAACAAAUUGUGCCGUCUUUUUGACUGCAGCCAUCUUACUACAUAUGGAGAAACCGUUGAGUCCUUGCAAAUUCAUAACGAAAGGCUCCAGAAUAAUGCAGCCUGCCACGAUGAAGCAACAGGAAGGCCAAGGUUGCGGGCAACAGCACUGGACAGGCAUAAAGAGCUUCGCAGCCUCACCCUGUCGGAUGCUCUUUUACUGUUUCCAUUUCUUGGAACUGAGGCAUUGGAACAAGCCCUGCUCACACCUUGCCUUGUGGAGAAAGGACUUACUCUACACAUUGACGGGGAGCCCGUUUUGAGUGUGCCAUCACUUCUUGCAGGAAUGGCGUGCCUGUUUGCAUCGUUUUGGGUAUUCCAUGUGGAAUACCCAAAAAAAGGCACACAAAAUGCUCACAUUCUUUGAGCACGCGUUCCUACACCUUUCACGCAUGAAGCCGAGUGUCAAAGCUCUGGAACUUAUAAAUUUUUUUUAAUGAGUAACAUUAAUUUAGUUUCACAAUUGUAGUUUUGUAGUUUUCUUCAAGUACGUUGUGCAAGCUGGCAUUUUGGACUUCUGUGCCUUGAGAAGAGGUGAAAAAAAAGUAUGACAGACAAAUGUUAAUAUUGCAUUUUUUUGUGCAAGGUUUUUUUUUUUCUUAAACCUUGGCCAUGUGUCGCAUGUGGAAUACGGCGUGCACUUGUACAACCAAUGUGUACAUUUUUUUAUUGCAAUAUUGCAAACAAGUUCUGUGGUAUCCCGCAAGGUGGAGGAAAGAUUAAGAAAGGGAAAAUAGACAACCACCUGUUUGUAGCAUGAAGCCACAAGAAAAUUCA
This is an RNA transcript of Rhipicephalus sanguineus (brown dog tick), 2192 nucleotides long. RefSeq lists it as uncharacterized. The record is from RefSeq and is a predicted model, not a curated record. NCBI's taxonomy places the organism in Eukaryota, Metazoa, Arthropoda, Arachnida, Ixodida, Ixodidae. The transcript has 8 exons.